UGAAACUCGCCUACAUGAAGCUGGAGUUACUAGUAAUCGCAGAUCAGAAUGCUGCGGUGAAUGCGUUCCCGGGUCUUGUACACACCGCCCGUCACACCACGGAAGUUGGGGGCGCCCGAAGCCACUUAGCUAACCCUUUUGGGAAGCGAGUGUCGAAGGUGAAAUCAAUAACUGGGGUGAAGUCGUAACAAGGUACC
RNAcentral lists this ribosomal RNA (197 nucleotides) under uncultured bacterium. RNAcentral describes it as "partial 16S ribosomal RNA". It matches the Rfam family "Bacterial small subunit ribosomal RNA", at positions 1306 to 1500 of the family's 1533-position model. The record is from RNAcentral.